Non-coding RNA from Acanthosepion pharaonis, 97 nucleotides. The record is from the annotation of a GenBank genome assembly. NCBI's taxonomy places the organism in Eukaryota, Metazoa, Mollusca, Cephalopoda, Sepiida, Sepiidae.
GUUGAAACACUGAUUCCUUUUUGAUCACCAAAGUUAAGCAACAUCAAGCCUGAUCAGUACUUUGAUGAGUGACCGCUUGGGAAUACCAGAUGCUGAA